AAACGGUUUGUUUACUGAACCGAGACCGAACAUAUAUGUUCGGAAUAUCUUUUUGUCACUGGAUUUAUCAGUAAUUAAAUCUUCUUAAUGUCUAUCUCGGAAAAAUAUUUUCUUUAGCUCUUCACUGGUUUUAAGCUGGUUGCCGAACUGCUUAUUAUAGGCUAGCUCACCAGUCUCUAUACGGCAUUCCCAGUUUAUAAUUUUUAAUAACUUUUUAAGAAGUGUAGAAUCAUUUUUCAAAUUUGAAAAAAGAAAGAUGGUUAGUUAAUGACCAUCAAUUUAUUUUACAAAAGCGAGAAAGUGUUUCCGAAAGAAGAAGCGGAAAAAAACAUUUCAUAGGGCCUAGCAACAAUGAGUAGAAUGGUCAACUAUGACGUCAGUAAAUCUUAUCGUUGUGGUUUGUUUAUAUUUGCCAACGAGGGUUUGAAAUACGCUUUUUGAAAUCUCUCUAGUUAGGGGAGGAUUUAAUGUAGUAUAACUAUAGAAACUGACCGAUUUCAAGAAAUUCCUUUUUAUAAUAAACAGAUGAUAUUUUCUUAAGAUUAAAAAAAAUCAGAGAGGAAGAAAUAAAAUUUCUUCUAUACUCAUUUUUCAGACAGAGUUGACAACAAGACUAAGAGAGCAUUUGUUUUUCAUUCUCAGUGUUUAUUCAAGUUUGGCAUACUUGUCUGAGAAUAAAUCUACCUAGAUUAACAUUUUGUGUAUCCUAUCAUCUUACCAGAACUCAUCUGAGAAAAUGAUCAGGCCUUGGGGUGUAUUCUUUAAUUGGAGACAAUUUCAAACUCGAUGUUGGAAUGACGAUGACGGACAUAUAAGUCAAAAUUUCAGAUAUUUUCGUGACAAUUAUUUCAUUGUACUCUUCACUGUAUUUGUAUUUUUUUGUUUCGUCGAAAAAGAUUAUACUAAGAUACGAUACAUAGCUGGAUACUUGCUUUUUACAUUCUAUAUUGUCUAUAAUAAGGGGAUUACUAGCAUCGCUAAUACAUGGUUUACAGUGGCAACUAUCUUAUUCUUAAUAGCGAUUUACCCAGUUUCGAAAGUUAAAUUGUCGUUUAGUUUAUGGAUGAUUGCUUUAAAAAGUUUAAUUUACUCAGGAAUUUUUGCUUGGGUUCAUUCCUGUGUGUAUUUAUACCGUUUUUCUCAAAGAGACAACAGAAAUUUGCACCCACAAAGUUGACAAAAUAAUGUAUAUGUGUAUCAUCGGCAAAACAGAUAAGUGUGCUGCCUAAUACUUUUAAUUUUGUCUCUCUUAUAAGUAACAUACUACAGUUUUCGUUCCCCUGUCUGUGUUAUGAUUUUGCUGUAAUGGCUGUAGUAUAAUUUUUCUUGUUUUAUUUAUAUAGCAGUACCUCAAGUCUUAAUUUUGAAAUACCUGGUCGUACAACGAAGUCGUACAACAAAUGGAAAACUAGUAAAAGAGUAUUGCCAUAAAAUUUUUCGUUUUAUUUAAAAAUAGAGAGAAAGAAAUUGAAAAAUUUAUAAAAACUUGAAACGCAAUCGAAAAUGAAUUAAGCUAAAAUAACGUAAAACGGCAUAAAAAAGCACAUGAACAGACAGCACUAGAAUCAUUCCAGGCCAAAAGCACAGCUAUCAUCUGCCCUAAUGCAGAACCAUUAAGUAACGAAACACUGAAUCAAUCUUUAAGUGGAAAUAGCAUCUGUUAUAAACUUCAUAGGCCUUUCUACAUAUAAACAUGUUCUUUUACAGACAUCACAAGCUUUUUUUAUAAAGAAACAUGUACUGUUACAGGUUUCACAGACUUUUUGACAGAUAAAUAUGUUCUACUGUUACAAUUUUCACAGGCUUUCUUACAGAUAAACAUGUUUUGUUCAGUAUUUUUUACAAGAAAUAAAGAUGCAUU
Parasteatoda tepidariorum (common house spider) is the source of this 1861-nucleotide long non-coding RNA. NCBI's taxonomy places the organism in Eukaryota, Metazoa, Arthropoda, Arachnida, Araneae, Theridiidae. The record is from RefSeq and is a predicted model, not a curated record.